GAUGAAGAACGCAGCGAAAUGCGAUAAGUAAUGUGAAUUGCAGAAUUCAGUGAAUCAUCGAAUCUUUGAACGCACAUUGCGCCCGCCAGUAUUCUGGCGGGCAUGCCUGUUCGAGCGUCAUUUCAACCAUCAAGCCCCAGGCUUGUGUUGGAGCCCUGCGGCUGCCGCAGCCUCCCAAAACCAGUGGCGGGCUCGCUAUCACACCGAGUGCAGUAGUUUACUCUUCGCUCAGGGCGUGUGGCGGGUGCUAGCCGUGAAACCCCCAACUUCUCAAGGUUGACCUCGGAUCAGGUAGGAAUACCCGCUGAACCUAAGCAUAUCAAUAAGCGGAGGA
Molecule: unclassified non-coding RNA, 334 nt
Filed under: soil metagenome
Description: partial contains 5.8S ribosomal RNA, internal transcribed spacer 2, and large subunit ribosomal RNA
Rfam family: 5.8S ribosomal RNA (bases 1-120)
Source: RNAcentral